Long non-coding RNA from Coregonus clupeaformis (lake whitefish), 701 nucleotides. RefSeq lists it as uncharacterized. The record is from RefSeq and is a predicted model, not a curated record. The transcript is spliced from 3 exons. NCBI's taxonomy places the organism in Eukaryota, Metazoa, Chordata, Actinopteri, Salmoniformes, Salmonidae.
AUGACAUGCGGAACAUCAGGCUCACCCCACGAGAAGCAGUGCAUGAUCAACGUCACCCUCAGCAAGGAAAUCUGCUGGAAGUGAUGUCUUACCCCCAGAGUACAGGAAGGGAUGACUGGGGCCUUCAGCAAGUAAGACACAGAGGGUACUAACAGGAGGAGCAAUAGGAGUCUGCCAGAGGUCGUCACCCUGAAUGGGGAUGGAGGCUUUAGUGGUCCACACAACAAAGAAGUAGGUGUCCCUUCCAGUGAUGUGGAGCUGCUCUUGGACCUCACGGAGGCUGUAAGACCCUCCCUCCUUGAUAUAUAAAUCCUUCGACAUCCCUGCACCAUAGGGACACUUGACCUCCACCACUGCUGUGGUGCCCACAGGAUCCCAGACCCCAAGACCCAAAACCCUGACUCCUGCACAUUCAUCCCUGUAGCCAUUUUGAACGCCUUGACGUUCUCCUCUUCGUUAUCUGGGCCCCACUUUACAGACAACACCCAUCCAACGACUGAACACCAUGAAAUGCAUUCGUUGUAAGAAAUGUGCUAUAUAAAUAAAGUUUGAUUUGAUUUAUGACAUUACAGCUGUAGAAUAUUUAAUUGCAGUUUUUCCAUAAACUUUUAAUUGUUAACUUGGGAUUUUAUCACCUGACGUAUCAAUUAUAUAGUGGAAACGAUCCUUUAAACCAAGACUGUGUGAAUGCAUGUACCACU